This 498-nucleotide ribosomal RNA is filed under the name uncultured bacterium. RNAcentral describes it as "partial 16S ribosomal RNA". It matches the Rfam family "Bacterial small subunit ribosomal RNA", at positions 28 to 507 of the family's 1533-position model. The record is from RNAcentral.
GACGAACGCUGGCGGCGUGCCUAAUACAUGCAAGUCGAACGAGAGCGCCCGGUGCUUGCACUGGUCAAUCUAGUGGCGAACGGGUGAGUAACACGUGGGUAACCUGCCCAUCAGAGGGGGAUAACAUCCGGAAACGGAUGCUAAAACCGCAUAGGUCUUCGAACCGCAUGGUUUGAAGAGGAAAAGAGGCGCAAGCUUCUGCUGAUGGAUGGACCCGCGGUGCAUUAGCUAGUUGGUGAGGUAACGGCUCACCAAGGCCGUGAUGCAUAGCCGACCUGAGAGGGUGAUCGGCCACAUUGGGACUGAGACACGGCCCAAACUCCUGCGGGAGGCAGCAGUAGGGAAUCUGCCGCAAUGGACGCAAGUCUGACGGAGCAACGCCGCGUGAGUGAAGAAGGUUUUCGGAUCGUAAAACUCUGUUGUUAGAGAAGAACAAGUGCUAGAGUAACUGUUAGCGCCUUGACGGUAUCUAACCAGAAAGCCACGGCUAACUACGUG